CCCUUAGAUGUCCUGGGCCGCACGCGCGCUACACUGACGAAGGCAACGAGCUUUCCUUUACCGAAAGGUACGGGUAAUCUUUUGAAACUUCGUCGUGCUGGGGAUAGAUCCUUGCAAUUAUUGAUCUUAAACGAGGAAUUCCUAGUAAGCGCAAGUCAUCAACUUGCGUUGAUUACGUCCCUGCCCUUUGUACACACCGCCCGUCGCUACUACCGAUUGAAUGGUUUAGUGAGGCCUUCGGAUCCGCGACUCGUUUUGUGGAGAAGUUGGACAAACUCAGUCAUUUAGAGGAAGUAAAAGUCGUAACA
This 308-nucleotide ribosomal RNA is filed under the name uncultured eukaryote. RNAcentral's name for it is "partial 18S ribosomal RNA". It matches the Rfam family "Eukaryotic small subunit ribosomal RNA", at positions 1470 to 1796 of the family's 1831-position model. The record is from RNAcentral.